This 458-nucleotide ribosomal RNA is filed under the name uncultured bacterium. RNAcentral's name for it is "partial 16S ribosomal RNA". It matches the Rfam family "Bacterial small subunit ribosomal RNA", at positions 338 to 795 of the family's 1533-position model. The record is from RNAcentral.
CCUACGGGUGGCAGCAGUGAGGAAUAUUGGUCAAUGGGCGAGAGCCUGAACCAGCCAAGUCGCGUGAGGGAGUACUGCCCUAUGGGUUGUAAACCUCUUUUGUCGGGGAGCAAAAGCCGGACGUGUCCGUCUGUGAGAGUACCCGAAGAAAAAGCAUCGGCUAACUCCGUGCCAGCAGCCGCGGUAAUACGGGGGAUGCGAGCGUUAUCCGGGUUUAUUGGGGUUAAAGGGGGCGCAGGCGGAUUUUUAAGUCAGCGGUCAAAUCGUGGGGCUAAACCCCAUCCAGCCGUUGAAACUGGGGGUCUAGAGUGUGGGAGAGGUAUGCGGAAUGCGUGGUGCAGCGGUGAAAUGCAUAGAUAUCACGCAGAACCCCGAUUGCGAAGGCAGCAUACCGGUGCACAACUGACGCUCAGGCACGAAAGCGUGGGUAUCGAACAGGAUUAGAUACCCUAGUAGUC